AACGCACAUUGCGCUCCUCGGUAUUCCGGGGAGCAUGCCUGUUCGAGCGUCAUUGCAUCUCUCAAGCGUAGCUUGGUAUUGGAUAUUCGUCUGAAAACGACGUAUCCGAAAAAGAGUGGCGGACAAGUACGACUUCAAGCGUAGUAAAAUUUAUCCCGCUUUGGAAGCUCAUAUUCGACUUGCCAAAAUACCCAAUAUUUUUUCAAUGAUUGACCUCGGAUCAGGUAGGGAUACCCGCUGAACUUAA
Molecule: unclassified non-coding RNA, 247 nt
Filed under: Russula sp.
Lineage: Eukaryota; Fungi; Basidiomycota; Agaricomycetes; Russulales; Russulaceae
Also listed under: 1 other name
Description: partial contains 5.8S ribosomal RNA, internal transcribed spacer 2, and large subunit ribosomal RNA
Rfam family: 5.8S ribosomal RNA (bases 1-52)
Source: RNAcentral